AGAGUUUGAUCCUGGCUCAGAAUGAACGCUGGCGGCACGCCUAACACAUGCAAGUCGAACGGAACUGUUGGAGUUUACUUCUUCAGUUUAGUGGCGGACGGGUGAGUAACGCGUGGGGAUUUACCUUUCGGUGGGGGAUAACCUUUGGAAACAGAGGCCAAUACCGCAUACGCUCUAAGGAGGAAAGAUUUAUUGCCGAAAGAUAACCCCGCGUUGGAUUAGCUAGUUGGUGAGGUAACGGCUCACCAAGGCGAUGAUCCAUAGCUGGUUUGAGAGGAUGAUCAGCCACACUGGGACUGAGACACGGCCCAGACUCCUACGGGAGGCAGCAGUGGGGAAUAUUGGACAAUGGGGAAACCCUGAUCCAGCGAUGCCGCGUGUAUGAAGAAGGCCUUCGGGUUGUAAAGUACUUUCAGUGGUGAUGAUAAUGACAGUAGCCAAAUAAGAAGCACCGACUAACUCUGUGCCAGCAGCCGCGGUAAUAAGGGCGA
RNAcentral lists this ribosomal RNA (491 nucleotides) under uncultured Alphaproteobacteria bacterium. RNAcentral's name for it is "bacterial SSU rRNA". It matches the Rfam family "Bacterial small subunit ribosomal RNA", at positions 8 to 533 of the family's 1533-position model. The record is from RNAcentral. Lineage: Bacteria; Pseudomonadati; Pseudomonadota; Alphaproteobacteria.